UGCGCAAGAAGUGGAGAGGGUGCAGAGGAUUGCAGAAGAAACCUCGACAGGCCUCUAUGGGCGCCGCCAGGAAGAGAUCAAGCGGAAUGGACAUGUAUUUAGAGAGUGUGCUUUUCGCCAACUGUCCAGAUUAUUUUGAAUACUUUCACCGCUGCUACAACACAACCACUUUCGAGUGGGCACUUGUGCCAGUUUUUUGUCAAUAAAUCCUCUUAUUUACUUAUUCA
Long non-coding RNA from Dermacentor andersoni, 227 nucleotides. RefSeq lists it as uncharacterized. The record is from RefSeq and is a predicted model, not a curated record. NCBI's taxonomy places the organism in Eukaryota, Metazoa, Arthropoda, Arachnida, Ixodida, Ixodidae.